GGGGUAUAUAGUGUAAUUGGUAACACUAAACGUUUGCAACGUUUCAUUGCGGUUCAAGUCCGAUAUACUCCA
Molecule: transfer RNA, 72 nt
Filed under: bacterium
Lineage: Bacteria
Description: tRNA-Ala
Rfam family: tRNA
About the family: Transfer RNA (tRNA) molecules are approximately 80 nucleotides in length. Their secondary structure includes four short double-helical elements and three loops (D, anti-codon, and T loops).
Source: RNAcentral